AGGAUUAACGCUGGCGGCGUGCCUAACACAUGCAAGUCGAACGAGAAAGGGGAGCAAUCCCUGAGUACAGUGGCGACCGGGUGGGUAACACGUGACUAACCUACCCUCGAGUGUGGAAUAACAUCGGGAAACCGAUGCUAAUACCGCAUAAUAUCGCAAGAUCAAAGGAGUAAUCCGCUUGAGGAGGGGGUCGCGGCUGAUUAGCUAGUUGGCGGGGUAAUGGCCCACCAAGGCGAAGAUCGGUA
RNAcentral lists this ribosomal RNA (245 nucleotides) under uncultured bacterium. RNAcentral describes it as "partial small subunit ribosomal RNA". It matches the Rfam family "Bacterial small subunit ribosomal RNA", at positions 26 to 285 of the family's 1533-position model. The record is from RNAcentral.